This 237-nucleotide unclassified non-coding RNA is filed under the name plant metagenome. RNAcentral's name for it is "partial contains small subunit ribosomal RNA, internal transcribed spacer 1, and 5.8S ribosomal RNA". The record is from RNAcentral.
UUUCCGUAGGUGAACCUGCGGAAGGAUCAUUAAUGAGUUAGGGUCUUAUAGGCCCGAUCUCCAACCCUUUGUAUAACUACCAUGUUGCUUUGACGGGCCCGUCUUCGGACCGUUGGAGGUCGUUUGACCUCUGGCCCGUGCCCGUCAGUAGCCCACUACAAAUUCUUUUAAAUCAUGAUUUUUCUGAAAAACUAGUUAAAUAAACUAAAACUUUCAACAACGGAUCUCUUGGUUCUG